Molecule: ribosomal RNA, 406 nt
Filed under: uncultured bacterium
Lineage: Bacteria
Description: partial 16S ribosomal RNA
Rfam family: Bacterial small subunit ribosomal RNA
Source: RNAcentral
AUUGAACGCUGGCGGCAGGCCUAACACAUGCAAGUCGAACGAGUGGCGGACGGGUGAGUAAUGUCUGGGAAACUGCCCGAUGGAGGGGGAUCACUACUGGAAACGGUAGCUAAUACCGCAUACCAUCGGAUGUGCCCCGAUGGGAUUAGCUAGUAGGUGGGGUAACGGCUCACCUAGGCGACGAUCCCUAGCUGGUCUGAGAGGAUGACCAGCCACACUGGAACUGAGAGACGGUGCAGACUCAUACGGGAGGCAGCAGUGGGGAAUAUGGCACAAUGGGCGCAAACCUGAUGCAGCCAUGCCGCGUGUAUGAAGAAGGCCUUCGGGAUAUAAAGUACUUGCAGCGAGGAGGCGUUACGCGCAGAAGAAGCACCGGCUAACUCCGAGCCAGCGGCCGCGGUAAUAC